GACGAACGCUGGCGGCGUGCUUAACACAUGCAAGUCGAACGGAAAGGCCCUGCUUUUGUGGGGUGCUCGAGUGGCGAACGGGUGAGUAACACGUGAGUAACCUGCCCUUGACUUUGGGAUAACUUCAGGAAACUGGGGCUAAUACCGGAUAGGAGCUCCUGCUGCAUGGGGGGGGUUGGAAAGUUUCGGCGGUUGGGGAUGGACUCGCGGCUUAUCAGCUUGUUGGUGGGGUAGUGGCUUACCAAGGCUUUGACGGGUAGCCGGCCUGAGAGGGUGACCGGCCACAUUGGGACUGAGAUACGGCCCAGACUCCUACGGGAGGCAGCAGUGGGGAAUAUUGCACAAUGGGCGGAAGCCUAAUGCAGCAACGCCGCGUGCGGGAUGACGGCCUUCGGGUUGUAAACCGCUUUCGCCUGUGACGAAGCGUGAGUGACGGUAAUGGGUAAAGAAGCACCGGCUAACUACGUG
Molecule: ribosomal RNA, 468 nt
Filed under: uncultured bacterium
Lineage: Bacteria
Description: partial 16S ribosomal RNA
Rfam family: Bacterial small subunit ribosomal RNA
Source: RNAcentral